This 981-nucleotide ribosomal RNA is filed under the name Virgibacillus sp. WSR35. Its description in RNAcentral is "bacterial SSU rRNA". It matches the Rfam family "Bacterial small subunit ribosomal RNA", at positions 246 to 1219 of the family's 1533-position model. Lineage: Bacteria; Bacillati; Bacillota; Bacilli; Caryophanales; Bacillaceae. The record is from RNAcentral.
UAGUUGGUGGGAUAAUGGCCUACCAAGGCAACGAUGCGUAGCCGACCUGAGAGGGUGAUCGGCCACACUGGGACUGAGACACGGCCCAGACUCCUACGGGAGGCAGCAGUAGGGAAUCUUCCGCAAUGGACGAAAGUCUGACGGAGCAACGCCGCGUGAGUGAUGUAGGUUUUCGGAUCGUAAAACUCUGUUGUUAGGGAAGAACAAGUACCGUUCGAAUAGGGCGGUACCUUGACGGUACCUAACCAGAAAGCCCCGGCUAACUACGUGCCAGCAGCCGCGGUAAUACGUAGGGGGCGAGCGUUGUCCGGAAUUAUUGGGCGUAAAGCGCGCGCAGGCGGUCUUCUAAGUCUGAUGUGAAAGCCCACGGCUUAACCGUGGAGGGUCAUUGGAAACUGGAGGACUUGAGUACAGAAGAGGAGAGUGGAAUUCCACGUGGAGCGGUGAAAUGCGUAGAGAUGUGGAGGAACACCAGUGGCGAAGGCGACUCUCUGGUCUGUAACUGACGCUGAGGUGCGAAAGCGUGGGUAGCGAACAGGAUUAGAUACCCUGGUAGUCCACGCCGUAAACGAUGAGUGCUAGGUGUCAAGGGGUUUCCGCCCCUUGGUGCUGCAGUUAACGCAUUAAGCACUCCGCCUGGGGAGUACGGCCGCAAGGCUGAAACUCAAAAGAAUUGACGGGGGCCCGCACAAGCGGUGGAGCAUGUGGUUUAAUUCGAAGCAACGCGAAGAACCUUACCAGGUCUUGACAUCCUCUGACAACCCUAGAGAUAGGGCAUUCCCUUCGGGGACAGAGUGACAGGUGGUGCAUGGUUGUCGUCAGCUCGUGUCGUGAGAUGUUGGGUUAAGUCCCGUAACGAGCGCAACCCUUGAUCUUAGUUGCCAGCAUUAAGUUGGGCACUCUAAGGUGACUGCCGGUGACAAACCGGAGGAAGGUGGGGAUGACGUCAAAUCAUCAUGCCCCUUAUGACCUGGGCUACAC